Molecule: ribosomal RNA, 250 nt
Filed under: uncultured bacterium
Lineage: Bacteria
Description: partial 16S ribosomal RNA
Rfam family: Bacterial small subunit ribosomal RNA
Source: RNAcentral
UACGUAGGGGGCGAGCGUUGUCCGGAAUCACUGGGCGUAAAGGGCUCGUAGGCGGUUUGUCAAGUCAUAUGUGAAAUCCCAGGGCUCAACCCUGGACGUGCAUGUGAAACUGACAGACUUGAGUGUGGUAGAGGUAAGUGGAAUUCCUAGUGUAGCGGUGGAAUGCGUAGAUAUUAGGAGGAACACCAGUGGCGAAGGCGACUUACUGGGCCAUUACUGACGCUGAGGAGCGAAAGCGUGGGGAGCAAAC